Molecule: ribosomal RNA, 1146 nt
Filed under: uncultured bacterium
Lineage: Bacteria
Description: bacterial SSU rRNA
Rfam family: Bacterial small subunit ribosomal RNA
Source: RNAcentral
ACCGAUUAUGAUUGGACCCGCGUCUGAUUAGCUAGUUGGUGGGGUAAAGGCCUACCAAGGCGACGAUCAGUAGCCGGCCUGAGAGGGUGUACGGCCACACUGGGACUGAGAUACGGUCCAGACUCCUACGGGAGGCUGCAGUCGAGAAUCUUCCGCAAUGGGCGCAAGCCUGACGGAGCCACGCCGCGUGAGCGAAGAAGGUUGGACGAAUGCUCUUCCCGUAAAUAAUGGGAAGGAAUGACGGUACAAUAAGAGGAAGCCACGGCUAACUACGUGCCAGCAGCCGCGGUAAUACGUAGGUGGCAAACGUUGUCCGGAAUUACUGGGCGUAAAGGGCGAGUAGGUGGUUUUAUAAGCGCGGGGUGAAAGGCUAUGGCUCAACCAUAGUAAGCCUUGCGAACUGUAAGACUUGAGUGCAGGAGAGGGAAGUGGAAUUCCUAGUGUAGCGGUGAAAUGCGUAGAUAUUAGGAGGAACACCAGUGGCGAAGGCGACUUCCUGGCUUGUAACUGACACUGAGGCGCGAAAGCGUGGGGAUCAAACAGGAUUAGAUACCCUGGUAGUCCACGCCGUAAACGAUGAGUGCUAGGUGUCGGGUAGCGAUAUUCAGUGCCGAAGUUAACACAAUAAGCACUCCGCCUGGGGAGUACGGUCGCAAGACUGAAACUCAAAGGAAUUGACGGGGGCCCGCACAAGCGGUGGAGUAUGUGGUUUAAUUCGACGCAACGCGAAGAACCUUACCAAGGCUUGACAUCCCCUUGACAGAUGCAGAGAUGUGUCCUCCCCUUCGGGGGCAAGGGAGACAGGUGGUGCAUGGUUGUCGUCAGCUCGUGUCGUGAGAUGUUGGGUUAAGUCCCGCAACGAGCGCAACCCUUAUCAUUAGUUGCCAGCAGGUUAAGCUGGGCACUCUAAUGAGACUGCCGGUGAUAAACCGGAGGAAGGUGGGGAUGACGUCAAAUCAUCAUGCCCCUUAUAUCUUGGGCUACACACGUGCUACAAUGGUCGGUACAAAGGGCUGCGAAAGAGUGAUCUGGAGCAAAUCCCAAAAUUACGAUCCCAGUUCGGAUUGUAGGCUGCAACUCGCCUACAUGAAGUUGGAGUUGCUAGUAAUCGCGAAUCAGAACGUCGCGGUGAAUGCGUUCCCGGGU